UUCCAUUUGAGGAGUUCUUCCGGUUUUUCAAUGAAAAGGCCCUCAAUAAAUUAGCGGUCACUUGCUACUGUCUGUAAGUACUACUUCUGUCAUUAAGUCUCCAUAUAUAGCUCAGCUCUUUCAUUGCAUGUAUAUAUAAUUAUCCUCACUAUAUUAUGCAGAUUGAAGAUCGCCGAGUGCAAGAAAAGACAAAUCGGUGAUAUUGGGUUCAUUAACACAAAUCUCAUAGAUGAAUUUACGGUUAAAUUUCAUGCCAGGAGAGGAGGAAAAAAAUGGAGCAGACCCAAAUUCAGAAGCUGCACGAAAGGGUUCAAGCGCUAGAGGAACGAGACAGCAAUCGACAUGCCGAAACUACCCCCGAAGCUACCCCGCCAUCUCAGCGGAGAAGCAGCGUGGCUUCCACCGAGUUUCUUCAGCUGGAGCAUAUCUUGACGGCUCCUGCUAGCUACCCCAUGGAUGCUAUCACGGAGUCUCAACAUUGCCACCUUAUGGCGCAAUGGCAGAACUUUAAAGUCAAGGCGGCUGUUGGCUCUGUUUUACCUCCUGAACCCGGCGCAACCUACCAUUGCCGGCCGAUUCCAGAAGGAUAUGCUAGGGUGAUGGUGGAUGAAAUAACGGAGGGAUUUGAGGACCUCCAGCUUGACCACCCUACCGGUGAAGGGGAGACUCGGCUGGGUUUAGCUCUAAAGACUCCGUGCCUAUGGCGGAAGGAGCUCAUCAACCUUCCGAACUAGGCGGCUCCGGCGAGUAAGGGCAGUCCGCCUCCUCCCCCGGCGAGUGAUCAGGGCACUCAGCCUCCUUCUCCGGCGCGUGGCGGCACUCCGCCUCCUCCUCCGCCUCCUCCUCCGGCGAGUGAUCAAGGCACUCAGCCUCCUUCUCCGGCGCGUGGCGGCACUCCGCCUCCUUCUCCGCCUGCGCCGGCGCGCCAGAGCAGCCAGCCUCCUCCUUCUCCGCCUCGUCAGCAAGGGCGGAAGAGACCCGCCGCCGCUCCGGCUGCUCCGGCGCGUCGUAGUCCUUCUCCUCCGCCUCAUAAGCAAGGAAAGAAGACAGCCGCAGCCGCUCCGUCUGCUCUGCCGGCGUCUAGCAGUAUAGCUGCCAGAGGCAGGAGGCAAUACAGAUUCGGUCCUUCUCUGAAGACUCCAGAGAAGUUACCAUACGAGAGGACCGAGGAGGAAACCAGGAAGAUCGUGCGAGCCAAAGUGACAAACUUCUUUGAAGGGGUGAAAGCAAAGAAACAUCCACCUCCGGAGGAGAAGGUAGAUCCGGUGAAAGCAAAGCGCACUCUGGCUGCCCUGAAAAAACCACCAAAGUCUUCGCCGAGAGGCAACUAUGAGCACAUUCUUGCAAAGACAUAUGCCGAAGCGGAGCGGUCGGGAAGUACUGUCAGUGAUCAAAGGUUAAAAGAACGACGAGCUGGGAAAAAAAUUGCCCAGAUCGGCGAACAAGCGAACCAAUCGUGCCCCCCGCUCAAGGUGUCAAAAGACAUCGUCGCUAAUGAUCCGAGGAUGGUGCCCGGUUAUAGCAAUCUUGGAGAUUACCUGCCCGACGAUGUACAUUAUGAAAUCAUGGAGGUGGACGAACACAAAUACCAUUACGGGAAGCCUCUCGUCAAAGAUGAAAGAUCUCUAAAUACGAUGAUGCGAAGAUUACAUGAUUAGUACAUGAAAACCUGCAGAGAGUCUGAUGGGAUGAGUACUUUGACGCUGAGAGUUAAACCGGAGCAUGACCUCGUUGGAAUUGAACUGCUGAAUGUUCCAUUUGAGGAUUUCUUCCAGUUUUACGAUCAAAAGGCCCUCGAUAAAACAACGAUCACUUGCUACUGUCUGUAAGUAGUACUACUUCUGUCAUUAAGUCUCUCUAUAUAGGUCAGCUCUUUCAUUGCAUGUAUUUAUAAUUAUCCUCACUAUAUUAUGCAGAUUGAAGAUCGCCGAAUUGAAGAAAAGACAAAUCGGUGAUAUUGGGUUCAUUAACACAAAUCUCAUAGAUGCAUAUACGGUUGAAAAACAUCCCAAAGAAGCCGAGGCCAACUUGCUACGAUCGUUG
RNAcentral lists this long non-coding RNA (2043 nucleotides) under Triticum aestivum (bread wheat). RNAcentral describes it as "long non-coding RNA (TAES_LNC000870)". The record is from RNAcentral. Lineage: Eukaryota; Viridiplantae; Streptophyta; Magnoliopsida; Poales; Poaceae.